CUCCAGGAGAAACAUGAAACUCAAUAGCAUUUGGUUGAAUUCUCUAUAUAUAUUUUAACCUGAAGACCCAUAGGUUGCCUUGGAAUGUGUUUUUUUUAUUAGGAAUGGUAAUAAUUGCUUUAACAUUUUCCCACUUACAGAAAAUGUACCUGAUGUGACCCCCGAAUUUUUGCUACUUUGUUGGAUGAUGUAAUGUACAUGAUGUACAUGAUGUAUGUUUGUUGCACUUCACCAUAUAAGUGAAAUUAAAUUUUACAGCAAAACAACAAAAAACUAAAUGACA
RNAcentral lists this long non-coding RNA (283 nucleotides) under Mytilus galloprovincialis (Mediterranean mussel). Lineage: Eukaryota; Metazoa; Mollusca; Bivalvia; Mytilida; Mytilidae. The record is from RNAcentral.